Molecule: long non-coding RNA, 4411 nt
Organism: Anneissia japonica
Lineage: Eukaryota; Metazoa; Echinodermata; Crinoidea; Comatulida; Comatulidae
Exons: 11
Source: RefSeq, a predicted model, not a curated record
CUUAGUUAGCAUGUGAAACGAACUCUGUUCACAGUACGAAUGUCUAAACAGCUUCUCAAAGGCAAAGAGGCGACUUAAAGUUAAUGGAGUAUAUCAACUUUUCAGAUUUAGAAAUCGGAAUAAGGACGUUCUAGAAAUUAAUGGACCUACUUCUCGGAAACACUGAAUUGUAGUGUACUGGUUUACUUCAUCUACAUUUAAUAGGUUCGGUUUGCGCAGGGUUGAAUACUUGAAUGUGGACACUGAUAUACACAGGAUCAAAUACUUGAAUGUGGACACUGAUAUACACAGGAUCAAAUACUUGGCAUUCAACCUACAGCGAGACCUCUUCCUGGUGGAAUACUACAGUGAAUGGUCAAAUCAGGAUAAUCUGCCAUGCAACUUUCUUGAGAAGCUUCUUGAGUGCAGGCUGAGUGAUUGUAAACGUUUAUGUCCUGCUGUUGCCAAGAGACAUAAGAUGUCAGAUUUGUUCUGUAUUGUUGAGUGCAGUGAAAGUUGAUAAAAAUGCUAGAAAGAUAUCGUCAGUAUCUCUGCUGUAUGAAACAGUCUUUUGAGUUUGACAGACAAGUUUGGUGGCACUGACAUUAUCUGAGAAUGGCUCACAGAAUUUUGUGUGUGUACAAGUAUUCUACAUUUAAAUAUUUAAAAUAUAAUGGACACUCAAGACUUUUGGUGGAAGAAGCUAGUGAAUUAAUUGUGUCAUCUGUCUAUAACGAUACAAGGACUGUAAUUGGACACAAGAUUACAGCAAAAAGCCAGUCAACAGACAUGAUAUCGUCGGUAUUGUGGUUUGUUAGCUGCAGAAGUAGUCCAGCUUUUCUACAUUGUGCCAUCGUUUUUUGACUUGAUGCAAAAUAACCCUGGAGUGAUGCAGCUUGUGUCAGCUGCGUCUGGUGAUGGUGAUCAUCGAAAGUAAGAUACAAGAAGCUAUUCCGAGGCAAAACCUAUGUCAACACCAGUAUAUUUCCAGUAGUUUACUUUUUGAAGGCCGUAGCAACUUUUUCUAAGUUCACAACAAUUAUUGGGUUAAAUCUGAGGAAAAUUGUGGCUAAAAAAGAUCCUGUGUUUGAGUAAAAAAGUACUUCUAGGCCCUCAAAACCUUGGGUUCAUCAUUGCUUUACCAGAGUCAUUUUGCACUGAUACAGCUGGAGAACACAGUGCAUAUAGUGGUCCCAUGAUUUCCAAGUUUAAGGAUCAUAAUGAUUUCUACUCGUAUGUUAAUAUCAAAGGAAUCGUCUUCGAUGGAGAUUGUGGAUACUGGAAACCAAAAAGAACAAUUGAGACAGGUAUGUGUACAGACUCUUCCUAUUCAUGUGAUACUGCAGUGUUUUGGGGUAUAAGCCCACCUCUUUUAUGUCCGCCCUUACUCUAUAGGUUACAUCUGAUUUUAUGUAUUAGUGUAAACCCCCCUCCCCCAAUGCCAAUCAACAGUCCACGUUUUGAACAAGAAGCUCAGUUAAUUUUUUACAAAUCAUGAGGUGUUGCUACCCUUUAAAAACUUUCCUGAUACCAUCUUUUGGGACUUUAGGCCUUUCUCUGGUAAUUGCUCUUUAAUUGGAUUAUAAUCAUAGCUUUUGUAAUUUAUUGCCUAUGCAAGGUCAGCUAUACUAUACUAUACCAUAGGUAUGCCUAUGUGAUUUAUUGACAACUUGCUGGAAAACUAAUUAACAUUUUGGCUCUCUCUUUUGAUAUUGAGUUUGAUUGUCAGUUAAGGUCAGUGCAAAGUGAGGUUCCUCAACCCAUCAGAGCUAUUGCUGAAACAGGUACUGUAUUGUGGUAAAGGGAAUGGUAUCAGCAUGACUCUCAGGUAAAAAAUAUUGCCUUUGAUUUGUUCAUGCAGUGUUGAAAAUUCGCCUUUUAAAUAUCCUUUCCUAUACAGAUGAAAAAGUUUUUAUGAAUAGAGGGUUUCUCAAAUACCUUUCAAUAUAUAUUGACCAGGGGUGUGACUAGAGAUGACAUAGGAAAGCCCAACAACACAUCAAGUGGUCAUUUCUAACCCUCUGGCCGAUAACAAUACAAAAUACAAUAAAAUGUAUAAUAGGAUGGUACUAUGUAAUUCAAUUCAAUUUCAAUUUUAUUCAAAAACCUCCAGAAAGGAGAAACACAAACAACAAGCAAUAAAAUUACAUAGAAAACAGAGAUAACGGGAAAACAAACGAACAAAACCCUCAUCCAGAAAGAAAUGACAACCAGAGUUAAAAUGGUUUGGUGAGCAUGAUAAUUUAGUCGAGGUUUUGUUGAUUAAUACAUGUUUUCCUAUCGAUUAAUGUCUUAAGACUGUCACAAAUACCGUGUUUAAUACAAUCACUAUUCUUACUUAAUUGAAGUCUUCAAUUUUCGUCUAUAGCUAUAAUUAAAUAGUGUCGAGAAAAGAGAGAUAUCCAAGUCAACCAGGCCUUUCUUUAUCCUAUCAAUAAGCGUGUUCCUGUAUACCAUGUUACCGUUAGCUUCACAAUUAAGUAAUAGGCAUAAAAUUUCCUGGAGGUGGAGUCAUUAGCAAAUAUUUGUGACAAAAGAUCGAGCUGGGAUGACAAAAUAAUAUCUUUAAUCUUCGGCAAGUUAACUGCAUGUAACAGAGGAGUUGACCUGCAAAAUUUAGGGAUACCAAAAAAUGCCUUUACCAACUUACUUUGAAUUUUAUCCAUGUUGUCAACUCUAUUGAUAUUAAUACACUGGCAACCAUAUGUAAGAAUAGGAACAACUACAGUGUUCCAAAUGUGAAGUGUCACCUCAGUACAAGAGCCCUGUUUACACACGCCGAUACUUUGUAAUGAAAAGAAGGCUUUCUGGGAAUUAUGAAUUCUCGCAUCAGCAAGAGAAUUUCCCUUUAGAUUGCUGUUGAGUGUGACCCCCAGGUAUGUUACAGAGUCUGUGACUUUCAAGGUAUGAUUAUUUAAAGUCCAUACCGGGGCUGUGAUAAACUUUGUAUGCCAAAUGUUGUACAAGAUGUCUUAAUGGGAUUGAAACGUAACCCAUGAGAUAGUAUGUAAUUGUUGGCGUAGUCAAUAAGUUUUUGAAGACCAGUGGCGGUAAGACUUGUUAAAAGUAAAUCGUCUGCGUAACAGAAUGUAUUAAACUUAAAAUUUGCAACCACAAUACCGCAAUUAAGUUCAUUUAAACCAUUUACCAGAUCUUUAAGAACAAGUUAAAUAUAAAUGGAGAAGGUAGUCCUCCUUGUCUAGUACCUUUGCGGAUUGCAAUACUUCUACUAGUAAUAUUAUUCCAUUUAACAGUGACGUUUAUAUUUGUGUACUAUUUAUACAUACAGCGCCACCAGUCAGAUUUAAUUGCAGAAUUAAGUUUUUUAAAUAUUACGAUAUGGGGAAUUGCAUCAAAUGCACCUUCGGCAUCUAAAGAACAGGAGUAAACACUCUGGAGCCCUGAUUUACACAAUAAUUAAUAACAUCACUAAAGGUGGCGGUGGCCAUGCUGGUACUUCGACCACUUACAAAUCCAAAUUGCAUUGCAUCAAAUUCAAUAUCCCUAUGAAAUUAGAGGAAACAUAUCUCGAAAAUCUUAGAUAAAACAUUUGAGACAAUAAUGGGCCUAUAAUUGCUUGGCACCGAUGGAUCUAGACUUUGCUUUUUAAGAAUCGGAAUUAACGUACCUUCCUCAAAAAGAUUUGGAACAACUCCGUAUUUAAUACAUGUGUUAAAUAUCACUGACAAAAUCUUGGGGAGUUUUGAUUUCACUCCAUGCUUAAGGUGUUGAGCAGUAAUUCCGUCUGGGCCUGGAGAAGAGUUAUUGUUUAAAGUAUUAAUAUAUCUAAUAAUGGAGUCAGUGUUAAAAUAGUUUGAAUUUAAAAUUAAAUCUUUCAUGUUAUUCAUUUUGGUAGUGACCUCCUUCUGAGCAUCAAUAAUUGUUUGGGAGUACUCAUCUUUAUCAAAUUUGGACCCCCCCCCCACAUUAGCCCCUUCCCCAUUUCCAGACUAGAUACACCACUGACUGUAGGAGAUUUUUACCGAUAUUAGAUAGAAUAUUUAAUAACAACAACAGUAUUUUAAUUGAUUAGAUGAAUAACCGAUAUGUCUUUAUUAACAUGUUAUAGUAUGCAAUAAUCUAUUUUUCUGCUCUUCCAGCAAAAAACACAACCAUCAACUUCAGAAGUUUUACACCAGAAGCAGAAAAAUUCUGUUGCAGUGAAAUCUAUGGCGAGAAGCAGGGGUUCGCUGGUUUCAUAUGGACCAAUUAAAAGCCAGCAAGCCAAGCAGAGUACCCAGUUCACAUGUCAGGAUGAAUGAGUCUUAUUUCAAUAGCGCCCUCUAUGACAGUGUCUGGAGUGCAGUUGAAACAUUGAAUAGUGAAAGUAAAGAGUGGUUUGGUAGACAAGGCCUGUAGCCAUUGUGUGAUGACAGGAUGUGUGGCCUGUAGAUCUGAAGAUUCUCUCCACAGCCAUGUAAUGCACAGUGAG